RNAcentral lists this long non-coding RNA (1212 nucleotides) under Canis lupus familiaris (dog). Its description in RNAcentral is "lncRNA (ENSCAFG00040011543.1)". The record is from RNAcentral. Lineage: Eukaryota; Metazoa; Chordata; Mammalia; Carnivora; Canidae.
AUGAGGAAACCCUGCAUCCUUGCACUCCCAGGACGAGGAUGGCUCUGGCGCAUCACAGUUUCCACGUCUUGGUGUUUCCCUCCGUCUCCUCGUGAGGAGAGCUGGGACUUCUCUGUCCUGGAAGGAGAAGCAACCAAGGAUUUCGGAGAAAAAGCUUUGCAACCCCACGGGAAGACCCAAUCACGCAGGUUGCGGGGAGCAAGGCUGCACACCCUCUUAAAACACGGCCGUCGGAUAAAGUCCCUUUCUCCGGUUCCUUCCCUGCUUACCGUUCAGUCCCCGCAGGGUUCCGGGUUGCCCCCCCCACCCCACCCCCCGGCCGCGCGGGGGUCGCUGCCCCCGCCCCUGCCCCACCCCCGCCCCCGUCCCCCGCGCCCCCGCCCCGGCCCCCCCGCCCCUGCCCCACUCCCCUGCCCCACCCCCGCCCCCGUCCCCCGCGCCCCCGCCCCGGCCCCCCUGCCCCUGCUCCUUCCCCCACCUGACCCUGACCCUGCCCCACUCCCCUGCCCCCACCCCGGCCCCCCCGCCCCUGCCCCUGCCCUCCCGCCCCCUCCCCUGACCCUGUCCCCCCUGCCCUGCCCCCCGCCCCUGCCCCCCGCCCCUCCCCCUGCCCCCUCCGCCCCUACCCCCUCGCCCCGCCCCGCCCCCGCCCCGCCCCUCCCUUUCAUCUUUUCCUCCCCUCCCAACUCAACGGAGUCGCACAGCGGAAGAGGGGAGGGUCUCCCCGCGGCCUGUUUGCAAGAAAUGAGGCGUGGGAAGAGGGCGCGCUCUCCAAAAAACAAGGGCGGGGGGUUGGAAAACAUCUUAACUCAAAAUAAAGCACUUGCACCCCGGUCCGCUCCCAGCAGCCUCUCCCCGCCGGAGCCUGCACCCCUCCAGGGCCGGGAGCGCCCCCUCCCGUCGUCCCGUCGUCCCGUCGUCCCGUGGCCGGGGCGCGGCUGGCGGCGAGGCGUCCCGGUCCGAUCCCACACGCAACCCCGCGAGCCGCCGCGAGGGCCCGAGCGCGCACGGAGCCGGAGCCGGAGCCGGAGCCGGAGCCGGAGCCCGAGCCCCGGACGUCAGCCCACCUCGCUUCGAGAGCCUUCGGCGGCGCCCGUGACCGCCGCGGGCCGGGCCGCCCGCCCCCGCGCCCGGGUGCAGCCGACCAAUCGGUGCCCUCGGGGGGCGGGCCCGGCGGCGGAGGCCCCGCCCCCUCCCCGCCGCCGCCCAUAA